RNAcentral lists this transfer RNA (71 nucleotides) under Marmota monax (woodchuck). RNAcentral describes it as "tRNA.Ala". It matches the Rfam family "tRNA". From Rfam's summary of the family: Transfer RNA (tRNA) molecules are approximately 80 nucleotides in length. Lineage: Eukaryota; Metazoa; Chordata; Mammalia; Rodentia; Sciuridae. The record is from RNAcentral.
GGGGUUGUGGCUUUGUGGUAGAGCGCUCACCUAGCACAUGUGAGGCCCUGGGUUCGAUCCUCAGCACCACA